GCAGUAGGGAAUAUUGGGCAAUGGGCGAGAGCCUGACCCAGCCAUGCCGCGUGCAGGAUGAAGGCUUUCUGAGUCGUAAACUGCUUUUGCCAGGGAAGAAAAAGAGGGAUGCGUCCUUCACUGACGGUACCUGGUGAAUAAGCACCGGCUAACUCCGUGCCAGCAGCCGCGGUAAUACGGAGGGUGCAAGCGUUGUCCGGAUUUAUUGGGUUUAAAGGGUGCGUAGGCGGCUGAUUAAGUCUGGGGUGAAAGCCCGUUGCUCAACAACGGAACUGCCCUGGAAACUGGUUAGCUUGAGUACAGACGAGGGUGGCGGAAUGGAUGCUGUAGCGGUGAAAUGCAUAGAUAGCAUCCAGAACCCCGAUUGCGAAGGCAGCUGCCUAGACUGUAACUGACGCUGAGGCACGAAAGCGUGGGGAGCGAACAGGAUUAGA
This 434-nucleotide ribosomal RNA is filed under the name uncultured bacterium. RNAcentral describes it as "bacterial SSU rRNA". It matches the Rfam family "Bacterial small subunit ribosomal RNA", at positions 351 to 782 of the family's 1533-position model. The record is from RNAcentral.